This 487-nucleotide ribosomal RNA is filed under the name uncultured soil bacterium. RNAcentral's name for it is "bacterial SSU rRNA". It matches the Rfam family "Bacterial small subunit ribosomal RNA", at positions 26 to 494 of the family's 1533-position model. The record is from RNAcentral.
AGAGUGAACGCUGGCGGUAGGCCUAACACAUGCAAGUCGAACGGCAGCACAGGAGAGCUUGCUCUCUGGGCGGCGAGUGGCGGACGGGUGAGGAAUACAUCGGAAUCUACCUUUUCGUGGGGGAUAACGUAGGGAAACUUACGCUAAUACCGCAUAAGACCUUCGGGUGAAAGCCGGGGACCUUCGGGCCUGGCGCGGAUAGAUGAGCCGAUGUCGGAUUAGCUUGUUGGCGGGGUAAAAGCCCACCAAGGCGACGAUCCGUAGCUGGUCUGAGAGGAUGAUCAGCCACACUGGAACUGAGACACGGUCCAGACUCCUACGGAGGCAGCAGUGGGAAUAUUGGACAAUGGGCGCAAGCCUGAUCCAGCCAUACCGCGUGGGUGAAGAAGGCCUUCGGGUUAGUAAAGCCCUUUUAGUUGGGAAAGAAAGUCCCGUAGACCGGUUAAUAACCAGUAAGGAUUAGGACCGUAACCCGAAAGUAAGUAAA